Molecule: ribosomal RNA, 253 nt
Filed under: uncultured bacterium
Lineage: Bacteria
Description: partial 16S ribosomal RNA
Rfam family: Bacterial small subunit ribosomal RNA
Source: RNAcentral
UACAGAGGUCUCAAGCGUUGUUCGGAUUCAUUGGGCGUAAAGGGUGCGUAGGCGGCGCGGUAAGUCGGGUGUGAAAUCUUGGAGCUUAACUCCGAAACUGCAUUCGAUACUGCCGUGCUUGAGGACUGGAGAGGAGACUGGAAUUUACGGUGUAGCGGUGAAAUGCGUAGAUAUCGUAAGGAAGGCCGGUGGCGAAAGCGAGCCUCUGGACAGUUACUGACGCUGAUGCACGAAGGCCAGGGGAGCAAACGGG